UACUUGCUAGUUUAAUAACAUCAAAUUGCAAAUUUGAACAAAUUUCUAUAAA
This 52-nucleotide transfer RNA is filed under the name Parachtes ignavus. Its description in RNAcentral is "tRNA-Cys". Lineage: Eukaryota; Metazoa; Arthropoda; Arachnida; Araneae; Dysderidae. The record is from RNAcentral.